AAAAGGACCCAAAAAAGGAGGGAAAAGUCAGAGCAAGAGCAGCCAUUAGACUUCUUUCAGGCUUCAUCUGGAUUUUGGACUCUGGAGUUGGAGAAACUGCCUUCAAAUUUCCGUGUGCAGAGCAAUGGCCAAGAAAAGGAAAGACUUCCCUGAGUGAAAAAGAAGAUGAAGAUACAAGCUGGUGAUGAUCCAGAGCAGCUGGUCUCAGGAAAUGAAGAAAAACCCUGAUCACCUUUUCCACAGAAACAAGAAUAAAUUGCGACUAGUCUCAAUGGCUGAGAUGGAGGAGGAACACAGCGACACGUUAACCCGACUGCUGCAGUUCCUGUAUGAACUGAGCAACUCUAAAAAUCCAAGGAAAAAAGAGACAGCCAGGUUCAUAAUGGAUAUAAGGAAGUUUUUUCAAAAACAGAAGCCACAUUCAGUCCAAAGAGAGAGAGAGGAAAGAGGGGAACGUGAGGAGAAAGUACAAGGUCAGGAAGAACCAGUGUGUACCACCUGAGAAAAAUGUCAAGCUCUCCCAAGUACCACUAUGAAAGCAGGAAACUCAUAAAUCUUACAACACAAAAUUAGUAUUAUUAAAUUAGUCAAAUUAAUAUCUGCAGUAAAGAUUUUUUCAUACAUUGUAUACAUUCUAC
This is a long non-coding RNA of Oreochromis aureus, 638 nucleotides long. The record is from Ensembl. Lineage: Eukaryota; Metazoa; Chordata; Actinopteri; Cichliformes; Cichlidae.